GGGUUGUGAGGUUAAGCGACUAAGCGUACACGGUGGAUGCCCUGGCAGUCAGAGGCGAUGAAGGGCGUGCUAAUCUGCGAUAAGCGCCGGUAAGGUGAUAUGAACCGUUAUAACCGGCGAUACCCGAAUGGGGAAACCCAGUGUGAUUCGUCACACUAUCAUUAACUGAAUCCAUAGGUUAAUGAGGCGAACCGGGGGAACUGAAACAUCUAAGUACCCCGAGGAAAAGAAAUCAACCGAGAUUCCCCCAGUAGCGGCGAGCGAACGGGGAGGAGCCCAGAGCCUGAAUCAGCAUGUGUGUUAGUGGAAGCGUCUGGAAAGGCGCGCGAUACAGGGUGACAGCCCCGUACACAAAAGCGCAUGUGCUGUGAGCUCGAUGAGUAGGGCGGGACACGUGGUAUCCUGUCUGAAUAUGGGGGGACCAUCCUCCAAGGCUAAAUACUCCUGACUGACCGAUAGUGAACCAGUACCGUGAGGGAAAGGCGAAAAGAACCCCGGCGAGGGGAGUGAAAAAGAACCUGAAACCGUGUACGUACAAGCAGUGGGAGCACAGGUUUACCUGUGUGACUGCGUACCUUUUGUAUAAUGGGUCAGCGACUUAUAUUCUGUAGCAAGGUUAACCGAAUAGGGGAGCCGGAGGGAAACCGAGUCUUAAUUGGGCGUUAAGUUGCAGGGUAUAGACCCGAAACC
RNAcentral lists this ribosomal RNA (690 nucleotides) under Salmonella enterica subsp. enterica serovar Anatum. RNAcentral describes it as "partial 23S ribosomal RNA". It matches the Rfam family "Bacterial large subunit ribosomal RNA", at positions 1 to 722 of the family's 2925-position model. RNAcentral also lists the same sequence under 1 other name. The record is from RNAcentral. Lineage: Bacteria; Pseudomonadati; Pseudomonadota; Gammaproteobacteria; Enterobacterales; Enterobacteriaceae.